GACGAACGCUGGCGGCGUGCUUAACACAUGCAAGUCGAACGAAGAGCGAUGGAAGCUUGCUUCUAUCAAUCUUAGUGGCGAACGGGUGAGUAACGCGUAAUCAACCUGCCCUUCAGAGGGGGACAACAGUUGGAAACGACUGCUAAUACCGCAUACGAUCUAAUCUCGGCAUCGAGGAUAGAUGAAAGGUGGCCUCUACAUGUAAGCUAUCACUGAAGGAGGGGAUUGCGUCUGAUUAGCUAGUUGGAGGGGUAACGGCCCACCAAGGCGAUGAUCAGUAGCCGGUCUGAGAGGAUGAACGGCCACAUUGGGACUGAGACACGGCCCAGACUCCUACGGGAGGCAGCAGUGGGGAAGCUUCCGCAAUGGACGAAAGUCUGACGGAGCAACGCCGCGUGAGCGAUGACGGCCUUCGGGUUGUAAAGCUCUGUUAAUCGGGACGAAAGGCCUUCUUGCGAAUAGUGAGAAGGAUUGACGGUACCGGAAUAGAAAACCACGGCUAACUACGUG
RNAcentral lists this ribosomal RNA (510 nucleotides) under uncultured bacterium. Its description in RNAcentral is "partial 16S ribosomal RNA". It matches the Rfam family "Bacterial small subunit ribosomal RNA", at positions 28 to 507 of the family's 1533-position model. The record is from RNAcentral.